Molecule: ribosomal RNA, 434 nt
Filed under: uncultured Lachnospiraceae bacterium
Lineage: Bacteria; Bacillati; Bacillota; Clostridia; Lachnospirales; Lachnospiraceae
Description: partial 16S ribosomal RNA
Rfam family: Bacterial small subunit ribosomal RNA
Source: RNAcentral
ACGGGAGGCAGCAGUGGGGGAUAUUGCACAAUGGGGGAAACCCUGAUGCAGCGACGCCGCGUGAGUGAAGAAGUAUUUCGGUAUGUAAAGCUCUAUCAGCAGGGAAGAAAAUGACGGUACCUGACUAAGAAGCACCGGCUAAAUACGUGCCAGCAGCCGCGGUAAUACGUAUGGUGCAAGCGUUAUCCGGAUUUACUGGGUGUAAAGGGAGCGUAGACGGACGGCUAAGUCUGAUGUGAAAGGUGAGGGCUCAACCCUUAAACUGCAUUGGAAACUGGUCAUCUGGAGUGUCGGAGAGGUAAGUGGAAUUCCUAGUGUAGCGGUGAAAUGCGUAGAUAUUAGGAGGAACACCAGUGGCGAAGGCGGCUUACUGGACGAUAACUGACGUUGAGGCUCGAAAGCGUGGGGAGCAAACAGGAUUAGAUACCCUGGUA